GACGAACGCUGGCGGCGUGCUUAACACAUGCAAGUCGAACGAUGAACCCGGAGCUUGCUCUGGGGGAUUAGUGGCGAACGGGUGAGUAACACGUGAGUAACCUGCCCUGGACUCUGGGAUAAGCUUUGGAAACGACGUCUAAUACCGGAUAGGACCUUGGAUCGCAUGAUCUGGGGUGUAAAGUUUUUUCGGUCUGGGAUGGACUCGCGGCCUAUCAGCUUGUUGUUGAGGUAAUGGCUCACCAAGGCGUCGACGGGUAGCCGGCCUGAGAGGGUGACCGGCCAGACUGGGACUGAGACACGGACCAGACGCAUACGGGAGGAAGCAGUGGGGAAUAGUGCAAAAUGGGCGAAAGCCUGAUGCAGCAACGCAGCGUGCGGGAUGACGGCCUUCGGGUUGUAAACCGCUUUUAGUAGGGAAGAAGGGCUUCGGCUUGACGGUACCUGCAGAAAAAGGACCGGCUAACUACGUG
RNAcentral lists this ribosomal RNA (472 nucleotides) under uncultured bacterium. RNAcentral's name for it is "partial 16S ribosomal RNA". It matches the Rfam family "Bacterial small subunit ribosomal RNA", at positions 28 to 507 of the family's 1533-position model. The record is from RNAcentral.